RNAcentral lists this long non-coding RNA (882 nucleotides) under Cricetulus griseus (Chinese hamster). RNAcentral's name for it is "lncRNA (ENSCGRG00015041712.1)". The record is from RNAcentral. Lineage: Eukaryota; Metazoa; Chordata; Mammalia; Rodentia; Cricetidae.
ACCAAAACCAGUGCUACUAGCUGGGGACCAGGCAUCCUAACACAAGUGUCCAAAACAUUUCACCUUCAAAACACAAAAGAGUCGAAGUGUGGCUCCUCUUGCUGCUUUCUUAAACUUGUUUUCUUUUUAAAGAUUUUAACUUUUUUAAAGGAACACUCAUUUGAGAGAAAGAGAGGACAGAGGAAAAAAAGAGAAGACAGAGAGGGAGAAUCAUGUAUGUAGAUGCCUACAGAAGCCAGACAAGAGCAUCAGAGUCACUGGACAUUGGAGUUACAAGAGACAGAUGAUAACGUUCCAGAGAGGGUUGCAAAGAUGAAUCACCAGCUGUCCCGGAUUGGAAGUGUCCAACAAAGGCCACGUUAAAGACUCAGGCUGUGGUGCUUUUAAGGGGUGUGUGGACCUUUAAGAGGCAUCAGGUACUUCCUGUUUUCCACCAUGAUAUUCUGCCACAGCACUGGCCCCAAACAAUACAGUCAGCCUGACACAGACAGGCACCUCUGAAAACCUGAACCAAAAUGAACAUUUCUUCCUUAAUUGUCCACUUUGAUUUCCUCUGAUAUAUCUCCUGUGUAUUUGCCAAUGUGACAGAAAGCUGAAUAACAGACCAACCAUGGGGAAAAAGAAAAACAAAAGAAAGCAAAACCAAAUAAACUUUGAAGAUGAGAAUGGUCAAAGAUGAUAGAAAAUGUGAGCUAUGGGACUCAACAGACUGGGAACAAGAGAAGGCCUGGAGCUGUGUUGGAAACCUUUCUGUGCGGUGCCUUCUUGUUCUGCCAAUAGAUUUGAGAUACUGGCCUUUAUAGCUAGAUUAGUAUAUCUUCCUGUGAACUACUUUAGCAAUUAUUAGCUAUAAACAACUCACAUUGAUAUAGAUUCUUGUAU